This 505-nucleotide ribosomal RNA is filed under the name Rhinoscapha scalaris. RNAcentral's name for it is "partial 16S ribosomal RNA". It matches the Rfam family "Bacterial large subunit ribosomal RNA", at positions 1859 to 2622 of the family's 2925-position model. The record is from RNAcentral. Lineage: Eukaryota; Metazoa; Arthropoda; Insecta; Coleoptera; Curculionidae.
CUGCCCAAUGAGGUUUUAAAUGGCCGCGGUACUUUGACCGUGCAAAGGUAGCAUAAUCAAUAGUUUUUUAAUUGAAAGCUGGUAUGAAAGGUUGGAUGAGAAAAUGACUGUCUCUAUUUAAAUUAUUUAAAAUUUUAUUUUUAAGUUAAAAAGCUUAAAUUAUAAUAAAAGACGAGAAGACCCUAUAGAGUUUUAUAAAUUUUGUUUUGAAAUGCCUUUAGAAUUAAAAAAAUUUUAAAUUAAAAUCUAUUUAGUUGGGGUGAUUGAAAAAUUAAACAAACUUUUUUUGUAUAAUAACAUUAAUUUAUGAUUAUUGGAUCCUUAAAUAAAGAUUAAAAGAAAAAAUUACCUUAGGGAUAACAGCGUAAUUUUUUUAAAGAGUUCAAAUCGAAAAAAAAGAUUGCGACCUCGAUGUUGGAUUAAAAUAAAAUUUUGGUGUAGGGGCUAAAGUAUUUGGGUCUGUUCGACCCUUAAAAUUUUACAUGAUCUGAGUUUAAACCGGUGU